AUCUGCGUGUCACUACACUCAUGUUGCACAGCUCAAUAGCCUAUCUGUGUGAAAAUAAGUUUCUUACACUUAAAAGGACAAGAGCCACUCGCCGGUGGGGAUGCAGUCAAACCGAGAUUACUUGGCAAAGUUAGCCACAAAAAGGGAUGCAAAGGCUCUCCUGUAUAAGGUAAAGCUACCCAUUUACCUAGGACCACUUCAACAGCAUCGGCCAUUGCCCAUUCGUGUUCGUAUGGUGACGCGCGUUAACGUAGAAAAAAUACGCUCACGUCGCCAGGAAGACGUGACACUUUGCAUACCAUUAUACACGCCAAAGAGAAGACGGCCAACUACAAGUGCGCUUGAUUACUUGGACAGCAUAACUUGAUAAAGAAAUACUUUUAAAAAGGCUUUGCGCAACGAGAGUUGCGCUUGCGACCGCUGGCUAUGUCGAAAAGGUAACACCAAAAUGGUAGCGGAACGUAGUGAAACUGUAGCAAUAUCAAUAGGUUUACCUAGACCACAAAAGAGCACACAUGCUCAUAUGCAACAUAUAGCCCAGUAGACUUCAUUAACUAACCGAAUACUCCAAUUGUAUUGUAAUCUCAAUCAUGGUGUACGAUAAUUAGAUACGUCAUGCUUAGGAGGGUCGACUUUAGCACGUGCAGUUAAAUCUAUUUAUAAGACUAGGUGCAAGUUAAAACUCUCCGUCCUUAAUCAGGCUUAGGAUAAGAUGGCAAAAGUUCUGCUAGAUCAACCGUUGUAGUGGGGCGUUGUUAUCUUGAUAGUGAAUAGACCAAGUAACACUAAUUGUGGUUUUCCUCAAAAAACUAUUUUCCGCUUCGACACUUCCGGGGAUCACUAAUAAGUUCGCUGAUAUAUACUAUAGCGGAAGACUCCACAUUAACAUAAGUCAUGGACGGCAGUUGCAAGACGAUGCUACUAAAUUCCAGGUUCGAUAUCGUAUGGAUAGAUGCUAUAUGUCAGCCGUCGUAGCUGGGUGGAAGCCAAGAAACAACAUUUAGCCGCGGUUAGUAUGCGAGCCUUCAACCCGUGGCAUGAAAGCCACUUUGGGACUUUAACGUGAAAAGCAUGACCAGCUUUUAUAACAGCCGGACAAGGUUUCAAGGAUACCAGUAUUUCUGAGCUUAGAUGGACGCGGCUAUUUACCCAAAAAGCGUGACCUCGACAUCAAAAUCACAUAAUUUCAGACGGCUAGCGCUCAGCACCAAACAAAGUAUGUCUACGCCCGGAAUCGAAACCUAGAUCACCACUUGUCCUGAAGUUUAUCAUGCGAACACGUGCGUUGUCACGGAGACGUCACGGAGACAUCUCACAGGAUAGAACAAGACAAGUAGAUUCAUAGAUAGAACGAAAUCGAAAUUAAGGUUCAAAAUCAGAUGAUUUGGUCAAGUUGAUUUGUGAAAAGAGUAUCGGCAAAAUAGGCUUUCAGAAGCACGCGUGACAAAUUUUAGUGCAUAGCUUCUUGUCAGCUUGCCUAGACCUUUGUUAUCCGGAUUAUACAAAUUAAUGAUAGACCAGUACUUUAGUACAUAUUAUGAGUUUUAUAAAAUUAUAACUAGUAAUCCGUAUAUCGGUAGUCGUAAUGGCUUAUACUACCAUAGCCAAAAGACCAAUGUAACCAUUUUGAAGAAAUCCACUUAGCAGAAUCCUGGCCGGGGAAACUGUACUUGGCUUAUUUAUUCCUAACUCUUCUGAGUUCUCUCUAGAACUCACAGAAAUAGCGUUAUAGCAAGGUCAUGCCAUUAAAGGCGAAUCGAAACAUCCCGGAUUAAAUUGAUAGAUUUUUUGAAAUUUUGACGAACGACGUUCUCAUGGGAUGGCUGCCACAACCACAAUUGCGACCGAACAUUCGCAGUACUGAUACAAUAGCUUUCGACUUUUAAACAGGAGUUAAAUAAUUACGAAUCACUAGUCUGUGGUUUCAGUAUCAAUACGAAGCUUUUUAAGUAUUACUACUAUUACUUUUCACGCGUCUGUUUCGUUCUUUUUUUCGUUUGUUUUACAGUCUUGUUACUCCUACUUGACGAUAGUCUAAUUCACUGCUUUCAUCAUGGUCAUCGUUGCCGACAGCCAGGCUGGCCCCAGCGAUCAGAUUGAGUUCGCGCGACUGACGCCAAUAUUCGUCGCCGACGCACCGACAUCCUGACAAGCCGACAACCUGGCGAACCGACCGCAGUUUCACCGUUGCAUCGUCGUCGACGUCAUCAUCGGCGGAUUCUCUAUGUUCAAUCUCCAACUAGCUUUAUAAACUGUACAGACCAUCCCCUAUGAUUGUGCUAUUCUGCGCGAUGCUAGGACAAUGGCGGCUGUUUCAUCGACGAUCGCUGCCCCAAUAUUGGCCAUUCUAUACUGCUAAUCAACUUUUUCUUGUCUCUCAACCUCAGCACUCGUGCGGCCUCCUCGCCUUCUCCGUGGUCGGUCUGCGCUCUUCUGCGGUAGCGUUCCGUGUUUGUACGGCAACGAUGCCGCUACCGUCCCGCUGUCGGCGCCGCGUCUCAAUGUGGUCUGGCGUACAGUAGAAGAGUCAGUCGGGCGGUUGUUCAUUCGCUCGUUAGUUCGUUGCUUGGCAGGCAGACGGUGGCGAACCUGUUACAACGGCAAAACGACUCGUGUUGCUGCCUUCGUUUGCUAGCCCCUUCACUUGUUAUAGCCUGGCUAAAACCUUGCGGUUAGUAUCUCAUUUAGCCAGCUUCUUUUAUCCUUACGUUCGAACGACGACUCGAGUGGCUGCUCCAGCCACACUCUCCGCCGUGACCAGUCUGCGCGGCCGCCGCCGCCGCCAGCGGUUCGUCGUACUGAGGCAAGCAAACGUAUCAGCUAAAUAGUAUCUUUCGUCACACUGCACUGUGGCAGUGGCAAGCAGCGACGACGGUUUGCCACAAGCGGCAAACGACAAUCCCACGUGCUAGCAACACAACCCAAAUACUCGCCACUUAGAAUCACUAGAUGAGCAUCGUGGCGCCAUUGGUAGGCAAACUAGAACGUCUCAGAGACCUGCCUUUUGCACGGCGUACCGCAUACGACAUCAGCACUUUCCGGAAAUAGUGACAGUAAUAUAGGGGCCCGGCAAGUCUGAGAAAUUCGCGCACAAUGUGACACCAACUGCGGUAGAGAAUGCGCCGUAUGUACACAGACGCGAUUGCGGAUACGUUCGCUAAACUGCACAUUGAACAUGAACGAAUACAUUCAUUAGUAGAACAACAUCAACAACUGAGCAUCUAUAAAAAGUAGAGGGCAACGUACUAAACGCGCAGCCGGCCGAUCGAGCGUCGUUCGAACUCGUUAUCGUCCGAAAAAAACUGGACGGAACAGAUACAUCCACACUUAAACAAUCAGGCACUUACAAAGACACAAUGCACCAAAAAAAAACAAUGGAAGCAAUAGCGAAACUGCGCUACUUAACUUCACACAUAGCUCUACUAUCCACAGCUGGCGUUCUUCGCGAAGCUGGCAGGUCGACGUAAGACGAUUCCGAGGCCGAUUAUUACGUUCAUAGAGAGUAUUUUGAUUCAUCAAUUGGCAGGAGUGUAUCGACAUAGCCGAUAAGAAGUUAUUUGCAAAUGUUGUAGUAUACACGAAUCUACAGAAAUGUGAGAAUGCACACAGAGUCCAUGUUACGGAAUCGAAUCAUUAAUGCUAAAAGGUCAGGCUUGGCACUAACAGAUCGGCGACCAUUGGGUACAAGUUAGGUCGCGCGAAACCCAACGGCCACUGUUUCCAUCACAUCCAAUCAGUCCUUGUUUGACGUUUUUCUCAAUUUUUCCUCCACCUUUAUGUGGUUUUGUCAAAUGGGUAAGCUAGAGCGACGAACCCGCAGUGUCGUGACGAUACAUAUGUAUAUAUAUAUACACGAUUUUUUUCGAGAUAUAUACAAAUGACGCUUGUUCAGACGCAAAACCAACUACUAGAUUGCCCUACCAUCAUACUGUCAGUCAAUCAGCAGUUAUGCAGUAACAGCUGAUCUAUCGCCGACGGACACAGGCAUCGCUAGAGCAUAUUCAGUUAGCGCGUGUCUUCUCCACUUGAGGAGAUGAAUUGAACCAGCUUCGAUGUAAAACUUGAUUUCGUCGGAGAUACCCAUUAAGUGAUUACUCACAGCAUCACGUCAAUUUUUCGACACGGAGCCAUGUAAUUGGCUACUAGUUUGUACGUUGCCCUCAACAGCCUUGCCGCUUGGAGUCCACAGAGCGCAGCUCAGGCUGGUAACUCACUCUCUCUCUCUCACUUUAUAGUUGCGUACUGAUCUGUGUAUGUGCGUCAGUGUGCCUCACAGUAGGAAAAGAACGAUGGGGCUCACUGCGGGACCGAGGCUGGCCGAGUGAGCGAAAAUUCAUCAGGGUCGGAAUGAGUCAGUCAGACCCAGAGAGAACUCUGAGCCUCCUCAGCCCAAGCUGAUAACCCAUUUAGCAACGGAGCGGACUAUUCAGUGUAAAGUCUAAUAAA
This is a long non-coding RNA of Varroa destructor (honeybee mite), 4446 nucleotides long. The record is from RefSeq and is a predicted model, not a curated record. NCBI's taxonomy places the organism in Eukaryota, Metazoa, Arthropoda, Arachnida, Mesostigmata, Varroidae.